Long non-coding RNA from Vicia villosa (hairy vetch), 570 nucleotides. RefSeq lists it as uncharacterized. The transcript has 3 exons. The record is from RefSeq and is a predicted model, not a curated record. NCBI's taxonomy places the organism in Eukaryota, Viridiplantae, Streptophyta, Magnoliopsida, Fabales, Fabaceae.
UUUGGAAAAAUCAAGUAAGAAUGUCUUUUGGUGUUCCCAGGUUUACGAUGAAGGUUUCCAACCCUAGUAAGCAAAUACCUCUGCCUCUCUAGCGACCGCUUUCUUCUCCGCCGAACGUCUCCUUCAAUAGUUCCGCAAUUCUAGCUUCGAAAUCACUCGUCAUAUCUAAAUCUUCCCAUAAUUCUUAAAAUCAGAAUCGAACCAAAAUUCCAAAUCAAACCAAAAUCCCAAUUAUUCCGUAAUUUUUCAAAUCGCUCAUAAAAUCAAUCCCAAAUCGAACCAGAAUCCCAAUCUUUCCUCAAACCCCAAAUAGCCACCGUAAACCCCAAUCUCACUGACUGCUCAAACCCUAUAAGAGCUUCUUGGUUUUGGCUCAACCGUUUUUGCUGUAUGAUGAGUAGAAGCAGACCGUGAUGCCCCACUCACAACUGUGAAAUUCAAAGAAAAACUAAUCGAUUCGAAAGCCUCGUUUUCGAUAGUAUUCGGCGUUGCUGCGUUCUUACUUCUUUGGUGUGUUUAGGUAAGUUUUUAAACUUCUUUGCUUAUAUGUUUCAUACAUGCUUAAGAUAU